This 363-nucleotide long non-coding RNA is filed under the name Phoenix dactylifera (date palm). RNAcentral's name for it is "long non-coding RNA (PDAC_LNC013338)". The record is from RNAcentral. Lineage: Eukaryota; Viridiplantae; Streptophyta; Magnoliopsida; Arecales; Arecaceae.
UUCCUUCGUGGACUUCGCGCAUGGCGUAAUCAGCCUCCGUUGGGCGGAGGCAUCUGAGGAGGGGAGAUGUGAAAGAUCUCCGAUAGAGCCUUCCCUCAUACAAUAUGUACCGGGUGGCGGAGCGCUUGAUUCGGCGAGCCUCUCGUUCAUCAGUGGGGAGGACUUCAUCUUGCAGAUAGCUGAUGAGUUCGUCCAUCCAGCUCGGCUCUAACUCAGUGCAGAGGGUCUGCUCGGGCUCGUCUGUACUGGGCUUUUGGAGAUACUCCAGUACUGCCUCCUUGGGAAGCUCGCUCAUGCGAGAGGACGCCAGCUUUGACAGCUGGUCGGCCCUGAGAUUCUCCGACCUGGCAAUAUGUUGAAUGU